This 1272-nucleotide ribosomal RNA is filed under the name metagenome. RNAcentral describes it as "bacterial LSU rRNA". It matches the Rfam family "Bacterial large subunit ribosomal RNA", at positions 1674 to 2925 of the family's 2925-position model. The record is from RNAcentral.
AAAUCUGCCAAGGCGCUUGAGAGAACUCGGGUUAAGGAACUCUGCAAAUUGAUACCGUAACUUCGGAAAGGUAUGCCUUCGAUGGUGUAGGGAUUUACUCCCGAAGCUGUUGAAGGUCGCAGGUAAUCGGUGGCUGCGACUGUUUAUCAAAAACACAGGACUCUGCGAACACGCAAGUGGAAGUAUAGGGUCUGACGCCUGCCCGGUGCCGGAAGGUUAAUUGAUGGGGUUAGCCGCAAGGCGAAGCUCUUGAUCGAAGCCCCGGUAAACGGCGGCCGUAACGAUAACGGUCCUAAGGUAGCGAAAUUCCUUGUCGGGUAAGUUCCGACCUGCACGAAUGGCGUAACGCUGGCCACACUGUCUCGACCCGAGACUCAGUGAAGUUGAAAUCGCUGUGAAGAUGCGGCGUUCCCGCGGCAAGACGGAAAGACCCCGUGAACCUUCACUACAGCUUUACACUGAACUUUGAACCUUUCUGUGUAGGAUAGGUGGGAGGCUAUGAAACUUGGGCGCUAGCUCGAGUGGAGCCAACCUUGAAAUACCACCCUGGGAUGUUUGAAGUUCUAACCUUGGUCCGUAAUCCGGAUUGGGGACAGUGUAUGGUGGGUAGUUUGACUGGGGCGGUCUCCUCCCAAAGAGUAACGGAGGAGUGCAAUGGUACGCUCAGCGCGGUCGGUCAUCGCGCUCUAGAGUGCAAAGGCAUAUGCGUGCUUAACUGUGAGACAGACACGUCGAACAGGUACGAAAGUAGGUCUUAGUGAUCCGGUGGUUCUGUAUGGAAGGGCCACCGCUCAACGGAUAAAAGGUACUCCGGGGAUAACAGGCUUAUUCCUCCCAAGAGUCCACAUCGACGGAGGAGUUUGGCACCUCGAUGUCGGCUCAUCACAUCCUGGGGCUGUAGCAGGUCCCAAGGGUAUGGCUGUUCGCCAUUUAAAGUGGUACGCGAGCUGGGUUCAGAACGUCGUGAGACAGUUCGGUCCCUAUCUGCCGUGGGCGUUGGAAACUUGAGGGUGAGCUGUCCUUAGUACGAGAGGACCGGGAUGGACGUAUCUCUGGUGUUCCGGUUGUCACGCCAGUGGCACUGCCGGGUAGCUAUAUACGGACGGGAUAAGCGCUGAAAGCAUCUAAGCGCGAAGCCCCCCCCAAGAUUAGGUUUCCCUGGGAACUCGAUUCCCCUAAAGGGCCGUCGGAGACUACGACGUUGAUAGGCUGGGUGUGUAAGUGCAGCAAUGCAUUGAGCUAACCAGUACUAAUUGCCCGUGAGGCUUGACC